GACAGAGGGUGCAAACGUUGUUCGGAAUCACUGGGCGUAAAGCGCGUGUAGGCGGCUGCGCAGGUCGGGCGUGAAAUCCCGUGGCUCAACCACGGAAGUGCACCCGAAACCGCGUAGCUGGAGUCUCGGAGAGGAAGGUGGAAUGCUUGGUGUAGAGGUGAAAUUCGUAGAUAUCAAGCGGAACACCAGUGGCGAAGGCGACCUUCUGGACGAUGACUGACGCUGAGACGCGAAAGCGUGGGGAGCAAACAGGAUUAGAUACCCUGGUAGUCCACGCCGUAAACGAUGAGUGCUAGGUGUCACGGGCUUUGACCCCCGUGGUGCCGUAGCUAACGCAGUAAGCACUCCGCCUGGGGAGUACGGCCGCAAGGCUAAA
This 376-nucleotide ribosomal RNA is filed under the name uncultured bacterium. Its description in RNAcentral is "bacterial SSU rRNA". It matches the Rfam family "Bacterial small subunit ribosomal RNA", at positions 524 to 898 of the family's 1533-position model. The record is from RNAcentral.